GAUGAACGCUGGCGGCGUGCCUAAUACAUGCAAGUCGAGCGAACAGACGAGGAGCUUGCUCCUCUGACGUUAGCGGCGGACGGGUGAGUAACACGUGGAUAACCUACCUAUAAGACUGGGAUAACUUCGGGAAACCGGAGCUAAUACAGGAUAAUAUAUUGAACCGCAUGGUUCAAUAGUGAAAGAUGGUUUUGCUGUCACUUAUAGAUGUAUCCGCGCCGCAUUAGCUAGUUGGUAAGGUAACGGCUUACCAAGGCAACGAUGCGUAGCCGACCUGAGAGGGUGAUCGGCCACACUGGAACUGAGACACGGUCCAGACUCCUACGGGAGGCAGCAGUAGGGAAUCUUCCGCAAUGGGCGAAAGCCUGACGGAGCAACGCCGCGUGAGUGAUGAAGGUCUUCGGAUCGUAAAACUCUGUUAUUAGGGAAGAACAAAUGUGUAAGUAACUAUGCACGUCUUGACGGUACCUAAUCAGAAAGCCACGGCUAACUACGUG
Molecule: ribosomal RNA, 497 nt
Filed under: uncultured bacterium
Lineage: Bacteria
Description: partial 16S ribosomal RNA
Rfam family: Bacterial small subunit ribosomal RNA
Source: RNAcentral